RNAcentral lists this ribosomal RNA (467 nucleotides) under uncultured bacterium. Its description in RNAcentral is "partial 16S ribosomal RNA". It matches the Rfam family "Bacterial small subunit ribosomal RNA", at positions 28 to 506 of the family's 1533-position model. The record is from RNAcentral.
GACGAACGCUGGCGGCGUGCUUAACACAUGCAAGUCGAACGGAAAGGCCCUGCUUUUGUGGGGUGCUCGAGUGGCGAACGGGUGAGUAACACGUGAGUAACCUGCCCUUGACUUUGGGAUAACUUCAGGAAACCGGGGCUAAUACCGGAUAGGAGCUCCUGCUGCAUGGUGGGGGUUGGAAAGUUUCGGCGGUUGGGGAUGGACUCGCGGCUUAUCAGCUUGUUGGUGGGGUAGUGGCUUACCAAGGCUUUGACGGGUAGCCGGCCUGAGAGGGUGACCGGCCACAUUGGGACUGAGAUACGGCCCAGACUCCUACGGGAGGCAACAGUGGGGAAUAUUGCACAAUGGGCGGAAGCCUGAUGCAGCAACGCCGCGUGCGGGAUGACGGCCUUCGGGUUGUAAACCGCUUUCGCCUGUGACGAAGCGUGAGUGACGGUAAUGGGUAAAGAAGCACCGGCUAACUACGU